Long non-coding RNA from Fukomys damarensis (Damara mole-rat), 349 nucleotides. RefSeq lists it as uncharacterized. The record is from RefSeq and is a predicted model, not a curated record. The transcript has 3 exons. NCBI's taxonomy places the organism in Eukaryota, Metazoa, Chordata, Mammalia, Rodentia, Bathyergidae.
CUGGAUUUCCCUAGGCUCCCUUCCUAGGACUUGGAGGUCGGCUCGCCAGCAGCAGAUAGCUUGAACCCAGAGCAGAGACAACUGAAAAAGUUUCAGAAAUGGUUAGCAUGUAAGACAUCAAACUGAAAUGGGAGACACACCUUGAAUGUGGGUGGCACCACCUAGGAGAUGGUGGCCCAGGUGCAAGAGAAGCAGAAGAUGGAGGAAGCCUGCUGGCUGGCACUGCAUACAUUCUCUGCUUCCCAGCUGCCAUGAGAUUGAACCCAGGUCCUCACGCGUGCUCGGCAAGUGCUCUACCUCCAGCAUUGACUGAGUAUUUUUACUGCAUCUAGAGGCCACAUCAAGUGAA